CAUCAGGUGGCUGAAAGUUAGCACUGGUCUCUUAAACCAUUCUAUAGUAAUUAACAUCUACUUCUGAUGA
This 70-nucleotide transfer RNA is filed under the name Mecopoda niponensis. Its description in RNAcentral is "tRNA-Lys". Lineage: Eukaryota; Metazoa; Arthropoda; Insecta; Orthoptera; Tettigoniidae. The record is from RNAcentral.